UCACCAAGGCAACGAUGGAUAGGGGAACUGAGAGGUUUAUCCCCCCACACUGGUACUGAGACACGGACCAGACUCCUACGGGAGGCAGCAGUGAGGAAUAUUGGUCAAUGGAGGCAACUCUGAACCAGCCACGUCGCGUGAAGGAAGACGGCCCUACGGGUUGUAAACUUCUUUUGUAAGGGAAUAAAGUGUAGUACGUGUACUAUUUUGCAUGUACCUUACGAAUAAGGAUCGGCUAACUCCGUGCCAGCAGCCGCGGUAAUACGGAGGAUCCGAGCGUUAUCCGGAUUCAUUGGGUUUAAAGGGUGCGCAGGCGGGGGAAUAAGUCAGUGGUGAAAAGCUGCCGCUCAACGGUAGUCUUGCCAAUGAUACUGUUUUUCUUGAGUAUGGUUAAGGUAGGUGGAAUGUGCAGUGUAGCGGUGAAAUGCAUAGAGAUUGCACAGAAGGCCGAUUGCGAAGGCAGCUUACUGAACCAUAACUGACGCUCAUGCACGAAAGCGUGGGGAUCAAACAGGAUUAGAUACCCUGGUAGUCCACGCUGUAAAACUAUGUUCACUCGCUGUUUGCGAUAUACUGUAAGCGGCUAAGCGAAAGCAUUAAGUGAACCACCUGGGGAGUACGAUCGCAAGGUUGAAACUCAAAGGAAUUGACGGGGGUCCGCACAAGCGGAGGAACAUGUGGUUUAAUUCGAUGAUACGCGAGGAACCUUACCUGGGCUUAAAUGUAGAUUGAUUGAAUCGGAAACGGUUUUUUCCUUCGGGACAAUUUACAAGGUGCUGCAUGGUUGUCGUCAGCUCGUGCCGUGAGGUGUCGGGUUAAGUCCCAUAACGAGCGCAACCCUUGCCGUUAGUUGCCAUCAGGUAAAGCUGGGGACUCUGACGGGACUGCCACCGUAAGGUGCGAGGAAGGUGGGGAUGACGUCAAAUCAGCACGGCCCUUAUGUCCAGGGCUACACACGUGUUACAAUGGCCGGUACAAAGGGCAGCUACCCCGCGAGGGGAUGCGAAUCUUCAAAGCCGGUCUCAGUUCGGAUUGGAGUCUGCAAUUCGACUCCAUGAAGCAGGAUUCGCUAGUAAUCGCGCAUCAGCCACGGCGCGGUGAAUACGUUCCCGGGCCUUGUACACACCGCCCGUCAAG
This 1137-nucleotide ribosomal RNA is filed under the name uncultured bacterium. RNAcentral's name for it is "bacterial SSU rRNA". It matches the Rfam family "Bacterial small subunit ribosomal RNA", at positions 265 to 1401 of the family's 1533-position model. The record is from RNAcentral.